RNAcentral lists this ribosomal RNA (768 nucleotides) under Acinetobacter johnsonii. Its description in RNAcentral is "bacterial SSU rRNA". It matches the Rfam family "Bacterial small subunit ribosomal RNA", at positions 56 to 817 of the family's 1533-position model. The record is from RNAcentral. Lineage: Bacteria; Pseudomonadati; Pseudomonadota; Gammaproteobacteria; Moraxellales; Moraxellaceae.
UGCAGUCGAGCGGGGUAAGAGGUAGCUUGCUACCUGUACCUAGCGGCGGACGGGUGAGUAAUGCUUAGGAAUCUGCCUAUUAGUGGGGGACAACAUUCCGAAAGGAAUGCUAAUACCGCAUACGCCCUACGGGGGAAAGCAGGGGAUCUUCGGACCUUGCGCUAAUAGAUGAGCCUAAGUCAGAUUAGCUAGUUGGUGGGGUAAAGGCCUACCAAGGCGACGAUCUGUAGCGGGUCUGAGAGGAUGAUCCGCCACACUGGGACUGAGACACGGCCCAGACUCCUACGGGAGGCAGCAGUGGGGAAUAUUGGACAAUGGGCGAAAGCCUGAUCCAGCCAUGCCGCGUGUGUGAAGAAGGCCUUUUGGUUGUAAAGCACUUUAAGCGAGGAGGAGGCUACUUGGAUUAAUACUCUAGGAUAGUGGACGUUACUCGCAGAAUAAGCACCGGCUAACUCUGUGCCAGCAGCCGCGGUAAUACAGAGGGUGCGAGCGUUAAUCGGAUUUACUGGGCGUAAAGCGUGCGUAGGCGGCUUCUUAAGUCGGAUGUGAAAUCCCUGAGCUUAACUUAGGAAUUGCAUUCGAUACUGGGAAGCUAGAGUAUGGGAGAGGAUGGUAGAAUUCCAGGUGUAGCGGUGAAAUGCGUAGAGAUCUGGAGGAAUACCGAUGGCGAAGGCAGCCAUCUGGCCUAAUACUGACGCUGAGGUACGAAAGCAUGGGGAGCAAACAGGAUUAGAUACCCUGGUAGUCCAUGCCGUAACGAUGUCUACU